RNAcentral lists this long non-coding RNA (4222 nucleotides) under Homo sapiens (human). RNAcentral describes it as "HSALNT0114968". The record is from RNAcentral. Lineage: Eukaryota; Metazoa; Chordata; Mammalia; Primates; Hominidae.
CACACCCCCUACCUCCCUGCCUACAUUCCACCCAGCCUGACUGCUCUGGAAGGAAGAAUCCCUGCAAGGUGAGUGUUAUUAUAUCCAUUUGUGGACCAGGACUGCGGCUCAGAAGCUUUUCCCAGGACACUGAACUCUGACAGGUGAAUAGCUGCCAAGUGGUGGAGGUUGGCCUGCAGUGAGCAUCAGUCUGACUUCGAAGGACAGAAUGACACAUGGUACAAGCUUUCUGUCUUACUGCCACACGUCAGUGUCCUGGGAGAUGAACCAGAUGCAGAUGAUAAAAGUGCUGGCCAGGCGUGGUGGCUCAUGCCUGUAAUCCCAGCACUUUGGGAGGCCGAGGCGGGUGGAUUACCUGAGAUCAGGAGUUCAAGACCAGCCUGGCUAACAUGGCGAAACCCCGUCUCUGCUAAAAAUACAAAAAUUAGCUGGGUGUAGUGGCAUGCACCUGUAAUCCGAGCUAUCCAGGAGACUGAGACAGGAGAAUCGCUUGAACCUGGAGGCAGUAAGCCAAGAUCGCACCAUUGCAUUCCAGCCUAGGCGACAGAGCAAGACUCUGUCUCAAAAAAAAAAAAAAAAAAAAGUGCUCUGACGUUAUAUUAUGGUGUUGGUCGCACAACUUUGUGAAUAUAUGAGAAGUCAUGGAAUUGUAUACUUUCAAUGAAUAAAUUAUAAGGCAUACAAGUUAUAUCUCAAUAAAGCUGUUUGCUAAAUUUGGACGUCACUUUUUUUUUAAACAGCUUUGUUGAGGUAUAACUCUGGUGUUAUACGUUUAGUAUUUGUUUGUUCACCUCUAUCAUAAGCUAUAUAAGCUAUAUGUCUCUUAGGACUGGGAUCAUUUUUAUCAAUUGUUACACCUCCACUUCCUUGUAUAGUACUUUUUGCCCGAAUGUUAAUUUAAAAAUGUUUGUUGAAUGAUACAUUUUAGGCUAAAUGAAUACAGUUUGCAUCAGCAUUAGGGUAGACAUGUCACAUGUAGUCCACUAACCCUCCCCAAGUCUUUUAUGUGAGUUGUUGUUAAGCCAGGGCAAUUCUAUCCUGUACUUGGGCAGAAAUUUCUUGAAAAAAAUCAAAGUUAAGAGUUUACAUUUAUUUUAAAAUUUUUAUCAUGUUAGAACCCAUCAGUCAUUUUAGCCAGUUAAGUGUUUUUUUUUUUUUUUUUUUUUUUUGAGAUGGAGUCUUGCUGUUUUGCCCAGGCUGGAGUGCAGUAGUGCGAUCUUGGCUCACUGCAACAUCUGCCUCCCAGGUUCAAGUGGUUCUCCUGCCUUAGCCUCCCCAGUAGCUGGGGUGACAGGUAUGCACCAUGUUGCCCAAGUUUUUGCAUUAUUUAGUAGAGAUGGGGUUUCACCACAUUGCCCAGGCUGGUCUUGAACUCUUGACGUCAAGUGAUCUGCCCGCCUCGGCCUCCAAAGGUGCUGGGAUUACAGGCAUGAGCCACUGCGCCCAGCCAAGAUUUUCUUGGAUUUUUUUCUCUGUCAUUAAGUGUAGUCUCUAUUUCUACCUGCUUUGUACUACAAACCAAUUUAAAUAAGCAUGCUGUCUUUCUCCAUAAAAACAUUAAACUGUAGAACAAUGUUUUUAUGGAGAAAAAGAGCUAAAGUCACAUGCUGGUGGAGCAUAAAACGCUCACUUGAAGAACACCUUGGUAAUGGCUCCAGCUAACUGUACCAUGACCUAAUCCUGUGGCUGGAACCUCUGGGGAGUCUUAUCCACCUCCCCAAAUCCAUUUGACAAGCUCAGGUCCAAUACCACUUCUUUCAUGGGCUAUUCUCUGAUCUUCUCAGAAUGUCUAUCUUCUAUUGAAUUUGCCACAAUAUUUUGUUUGUACUACUCUUGAGACAUCCCACACAACCUUGAAUUAUAAUUGCUCACAUGGGUGUCUCAGCAUUUAUUCUAGACCAUAAGAUACUUAAAAGGAGGAAUUGUGAUUUCUUUGACAGUUUUGUCUCUUAGAAUUUAAGGGUGAGGGUGCUUAAUAAGUAUUAGAAAUAACGGAUAAGUAAAAUAUUCAGUGCUAUUAAAAAUACUAUUAAAUCUCAACACCUCCAGGGGUUACAUAUCUGAAAAAAGAUAUCAUACAUAUCUAUAUAAAUUCUAAAAUAAAUUGAAAUAGUCCAUAUCAAAAACCCUGCUGGAGUAGGUAACUCUUCACAAUCGACUUCAAUUAUUCAUGAUAUAAUUUUUGCAGGCACAUCAAAAAUUGUAUGUUUAGAGGUUAGAGGAUGAAUCCUCUUACAGUUUUCAAACCAGUCUGUACUAGCUUGAAAUGUAAUGUUUCUUGCACUUGAAUUUUCCCUGCUUUGUGUCUGCCAGUCUUGGCCCAAUGCUUGGGUACUUUUUUUAUGUUAUUGUGGUGCUUACAGGUGUUUUUCCAGCUGUGUUUUUCUAUCCUGAGGUUACAUCGGAGUAUGACAUGAUCAAACCUCUUCUUUGCACCAUGUCACAGAACCACCUUAAUGGAAGAGUGGACAAUAACUAUUGUGGUUUUCUCCUAUUUCAGGUGAUGGAAUGGAACCAUGUGUGUACAAAAAGAUACAGGAAUGUACAUAUUCAGUUUGCAAUAUAAAAACAUACACUGUGAUUGGAGAGGGAUUACAACAUUCUAAUUGCAAUUUUUGUCAUUUAUUCAAUAAAUAUUUCCUGGCUGGGUAUGAUGGCUCAAAGUGCCUGUAAUCCCAGCACUUUGGGAGGCCAAAGCAGGCAAAUCACCUGAGGUCAGGAGUUUGAGACCAGCCUGGCCACCAUGGUGAAACCCCAUCUCUACUAAAAAUACACAAAUUAGCUGGGUGUGGUGGUGCAUGCCUGUAAUCUCAGCUACCUGGGAGGCUGAGGCAGGAGAAUUGCUUGAACUCGGGAGGCGGAGGUUGCAGUGAGCUGAGAUUGCACCACUGCACCCCAGCCUGGGCAACAGAGUGAGACUCUGUCUCAAAACAAACAAACAAACAAACAAACAAAUUCCUGAGUGCCUACCAUAUGCUGAUUAAACUGUUCUAGAUGUUGGAGAUGCAGCUAUGGACAAGACAAAUACAGUCUCUUCUCUCCAGGAAUUUACCUUCUAAUGGAGGAGAGAGACAAAAACAACUUUGUACAUAAACCUUUUCUGAUAGUCAUUAAGAAAAUAAAGCAACAUGGUGUCCAAAUUCUAGAUUGCUCAUUUUAAAGGCUAGGGUGCCUAAAACCACAAGGAACAUUUCAGAAUUAGUAACAUUCAUACUUCGUAGAGCUAUACUUAGGCUAAUAAAUGUUUGGUAUUGUUGCCUCCCCAACAGCCACCUCAGACCACCUCCUGACUCCAAGUUUCCCUGCUCAUCAAUCCAAAAUUUUGUUGAAUAUACUACUUCCCCACCCCCAAUGGAGCUUAAGGGUUAACCUGAACUCUCUAAACCAAUCAGGGCAUUCCUACUGUCUUUGAUCGUGAGUGUUGUAGGCAGAGACAUAUAACCCAAUCCUUGCUAAUGAGACUUGAGGUAGGACCCCAGCUUCCGGAGAGGUUGCCUGGCUCCUAAAAAGAGAAAGAUACCGGAAAAGAGAUGGACUCUUCUACCACUGGAAAUCAGAUGGUGUCCUGAGUGACAUAAGUGUACUUACAACAGCCAUUUUGCAACCAUAAAGAAGCCAGUGGGAAUACACAGGCUACGUGUCCUCGAAGGCACAGAAGAAAGAAGAGAGAAAACUAUAUUCUUGAUGACACAGUUGAGCUACAGAAUUGUCCAACCCCGGAGGUGCCCCACUUCGCGUUGUGGGAGAUAAUGCAUUUUCCUUGCUGUUUAAACCACUUUGAGCUGAGUUUUCUAUUACCAGCAGCCUAAAGCAUUUUGACAGAUAAAAGUAGAUACAAAUGCACAUAUAUAAUGAGCAUCCUGACUGAACGAUUAAAUGUGUAUGUAGGCAUGCAUUACCUCCCCACUCCAUUUAUGAUUGUCACAUUUAUUUUUACUUCAGGGAAAAGCAACUAUAGAAUUUAAAAAAUCAGGAUUGAAAACAAAUACCUGAAUUUCCUACAAUUAAAAAAUCAAUCCAUUAAGUAGUGGUAUUAUGCUAAAAUAAAAUGAAUGCUUAGAAAUUUGUUAAGUGUUUAUGAUGUAAUAAGACAUCAAAUAAACCAUUUUUCUUUAAGUUCUUUAAUAAAAAAAAUCUGAUGUGGAGUCCAGUCUUUCAUUUUUAUCACUGGAAUAAAUAGAGAAUAGUCAUUGCAAUCAAUUGCCUGUUUGUUUCCCCAGAG